AUUAAUUUGAGAGUUUGAUCCUGGCUCAGGACGAACGCUGGCGGCGUGCCUAAUACAUGCAAGUCGAACGAACUCUGGUAUUGAUUGGUGCUUGCAUCAUGAUUUACAUUUGAGUGAGUGGCGAACUGGUGAGUAACACGUGGGAAACCUGCCCAGAAGCGGGGGAUAACACCUGGAAACAGAUGCUAAUACCGCAUAACAACUUGGACCGCAUGGUCCGAGUUUGAAAGAUGGCUUCGGCUAUCACUUUUGGAUGGUCCCGCGGCGUAUUAGCUAGAUGGUGGGGUAACGGCUCACCAUGGCAAUGAUACGUAGCCGACCUGAGAGGGUAAUCGGCCACAUUGGGACUGAGACACGGCCCAAACUCCUACGGGAGGCAGCAGUAGGGAAUCUUCCACAAUGGACGAAAGUCUGAUGGAGCAACGCCGCGUGAGUGAAGAAGGGUUUCGGCUCGUAAAACUCUGUUGUUAAAGAAGAACAUAUCUGAGAGUAACUGUUCAGGUAUUGACGGUAUUUAACCAGAAAGCCACGGCUAACUACGUGCCAGCAGCCGCGGUAAUACGUAGGUGGCAAGCGUUGUCCGGAUUUAUUGGGCGUAAAGCGAGCGCAGGCGGUUUUUUAAGUCUGAUGUGAAAGCCUUCGGCUCAACCGAAGAAGUGCAUCGGAAACUGGGAAACUUGAGUGCAGAAGAGGACAGUGGAACUCCAUGUGUAGCGGUGAAAUGCGUAGAUAUAUGGAAGAACACCAGUGGCGAAGGCGGCUGUCUGGUCUGUAACUGACGCUGAGGCUCGAAAGUAUGGGUAGCAAACAGGAUUAGAUACCCUGGUAGUCCAUACCGUAAACGAUGAAUGCUAAGUGUUGGAGGGUUUCCGCCCUUCAGUGCUGCAGCUAACGCAUUAAGCAUUCCGCCUGGGGAGUACGGCCGCAAGGCUGAAACUCAAAGGAAUUGACGGGGGCCCGCACAAGCGGUGGAGCAUGUGGUUUAAUUCGAAGCUACGCGAAGAACCUUACCAGGUCUUGACAUACUAUGCAAAUCUAAGAGAUUAGACGUUCCCUUCGGGGACAUGGAUACAGGUGGUGCAUGGUUGUCGUCAGCUCGUGUCGUGAGAUGUUGGGUUAAGUCCCGCAACGAGCGCAACCCUUAUUAUCAGUUGCCAGCAUUAAGUUGGGCACUCUGGUGAGACUGCCGGUGACAAACCGGAGGAAGGUGGGGAUGACGUCAAAUCAUCAUGCCCCUUAUGACCUGGGCUACACACGUGCUACAAUGGAUGGUACAACGAGUUGCGAACUCGCGAGAGUAAGCUAAUCUCUUAAAGCCAUUCUCAGUUCGGAUUGUAGGCUGCAACUCGCCUACAUGAAGUCGGAAUCGCUAGUAAUCGCGGAUCAGCAUGCCGCGGUGAAUACGUUCCCGGGCCUUGUACACACCGCCCGUCACACCAUGAGAGUUUGUAACACCCAAAGUCGGUGGGGUAACCUUUUAGGAACCAGCCGCCUAAGGUGGGACAGAUGAUUAGGGUGAAGUCGUAACAAGGUAGCCGUAGGAGAACCUGCGGCUGGAUCACCUCCUUUCU
This 1571-nucleotide ribosomal RNA is filed under the name Lactiplantibacillus plantarum. RNAcentral's name for it is "Lactobacillus plantarum 16S ribosomal RNA". It matches the Rfam family "Bacterial small subunit ribosomal RNA". The record is from RNAcentral. RNAcentral also lists the same sequence under 5 other names. Lineage: Bacteria; Bacillati; Bacillota; Bacilli; Lactobacillales; Lactobacillaceae.